Molecule: ribosomal RNA, 429 nt
Filed under: Chloroflexota bacterium
Lineage: Bacteria; Bacillati; Chloroflexota
Description: Chloroflexi bacterium partial 16S ribosomal RNA
Rfam family: Bacterial small subunit ribosomal RNA
Source: RNAcentral
UGGGGAAUAUUGCACAAUGGGCGCAAGCCUGAUGCAGCCAUGCCGCGUGUGUGAAGAAGGCCUUCGGGUUGUAAAGCACUUUCAGCGGGGAGGAAGGCGUUAAGGUUAAUAACCUUGGCGAUUGACGUUACCCGCAGAAGAAGCACCGGCUAACUCCGUGCCAGCAGCCGCGGUAAUACGGAGGGUGCAAGCGUUAAUCGGAAUUACUGGGCGUAAAGCGCACGCAGGCGGUCUGUCAAGUCGGAUGUGAAAUCCCCGGGCUCAACCUGGGAACUGCAUUCGAAACUGGCAGGCUAGAGUCUUGUAGAGGGGGGUAGAAUUCCAGGUGUAGCGGUGAAAUGCGUAGAGAUCUGGAGGAAUACCGGUGGCGAAGGCGGCCCCCUGGACAAAGACUGACGCUCAGGUACGAAAGCGUGGGGAGCAAACAGG